This is a long non-coding RNA of Leopardus geoffroyi (Geoffroy's cat), 391 nucleotides long. RefSeq lists it as uncharacterized. The transcript has 3 exons. Lineage: Eukaryota; Metazoa; Chordata; Mammalia; Carnivora; Felidae. The record is from RefSeq and is a predicted model, not a curated record.
AGAGUUAUAGAGCUCCUUCUGGGAUCUGUAAGUCCCCAGAUAUCGGAAGGGACACCAGCCUUUACAGUAAUGACAGCCAGAUUCCAGCUUUCAUAUGAAGCUACCAGCUGCCUUGGAAAGGACCCACAGAUAAGAGCCAGGUGAUGUCUGCAUCCUUCCAACUUAUGGUGACUUUGGGAAUGGCCGUCCAGAGGCUCAGGAGUGGAGAUGCUGCUGUCAGGCACGGAGGAGGUUCAAGAGUGCCUGGACUCCAGCACCCAAAAUGAGCAGGAAGGCCCAGAUGAAGAUUUCUGUCAGGACAUACUUUUGCUCUGAGAAGAGUAGCAAGUCUUGAACCGAGGUCACGGGUGUCUUGAGGUGUCUGUUCCAGCUUCAUAAAUAUUAAGCAUUA